RNAcentral lists this ribosomal RNA (253 nucleotides) under uncultured Eubacteriales bacterium. RNAcentral describes it as "uncultured Clostridiales bacterium partial 16S ribosomal RNA". It matches the Rfam family "Bacterial small subunit ribosomal RNA", at positions 524 to 776 of the family's 1533-position model. The record is from RNAcentral. Lineage: Bacteria; Bacillati; Bacillota; Clostridia; Eubacteriales.
UACGUAGGGGGCAAGCGUUAUCCGGAUUUACUGGGUGUAAAGGGAGCGCAGGCGGUAUGGCAAGUCAGAUGUGAAAACCCAGGGCCCAACCCUGGGACUGCAUUGGAAACUGGCAUGCUGGAGUGCCGGAGGGGCAAGCGGAAUUCCUAGUGUAGCGGUGAAAUGCGUAGAUAUUAGGAGGAACACCGGUGGCGAAGGCGGCUUGCUGGACGGUAACUGACGUUGAGGCUCGAAAGCGUGGGGAGCAAACAGG